This 229-nucleotide unclassified non-coding RNA is filed under the name Hevea brasiliensis (rubber tree). Lineage: Eukaryota; Viridiplantae; Streptophyta; Magnoliopsida; Malpighiales; Euphorbiaceae. The record is from RNAcentral.
GAUAAAAUGAAUCCGUUGUACAGUACUCCUCGGGAAAUCACAAAGAAUCAGUAGAUUGCUUUCAUCUUAUCUUGUGUAAAAUCUAGGUCAGAGGUAUCAAAACUUUUAGCUUUUUUUAUGGGAUUUAAUGCACACUAAUUGAAAAUUGAUUUUGUCUAAAUCACAUGCUUCAAAGUUCUAAAAUGGCCGAUUAGCAGAAUUCCAAUGAAGACGACGAGCUUGGAAUGGC